This 302-nucleotide unclassified non-coding RNA is filed under the name Zea mays. Its description in RNAcentral is "misc RNA Zm00001eb101020". Lineage: Eukaryota; Viridiplantae; Streptophyta; Magnoliopsida; Poales; Poaceae. The record is from RNAcentral.
CACAUACAGCACAAAACGCUAGUAAUAAAAACUGCAUAGUCAAUCCCAUCUCCGUUUUAUUAUUGCAAAGACCUGCGCACGAACUACUACAUUACUACUACUACCUCCAGUACGCACGGCACUACACUACUCCCUACCGUAGUACGCACGCGUCGUCAGGAGGCCAACAGGUACCUGAACCUGAACUCGUACGGGAGGACCCGGACGCGGCCGCCGGCGCCGGCGCGGCGGCCGACCUCCACGGCCCGCACCGCCUCCUGCCGCAGCUCCGGCGGCAGCUGCAGGCAGACCCAGUCCAUGAG